Molecule: ribosomal RNA, 845 nt
Filed under: Nymphargus sp. KU202796
Lineage: Eukaryota; Metazoa; Chordata; Amphibia; Anura; Centrolenidae
Description: partial 16S ribosomal RNA
Rfam family: Bacterial large subunit ribosomal RNA
Source: RNAcentral
AACUAAUCCCCACACCACCUAAGAACCCUUACACAAUACUGAGUAAUUCUAUACUCCUAUAGAAGAUUUCAUGUUAAAACUAGUAACAAGAAGAAGAACUUCUCUUAAGUGCAAGUGUAAAUCAGACAGGACACCCCGCUGACAAUUAACACCCGUGAACAAAAAGUAGUAACUUAACAAGAAAAUCCCUACUACACCCCAUGUUAACCUAACAACAGCGCACUACAAGAAAGAUUUAAAGAAAGAGAAGGAACUCGGCAAAUAAUAACCUCGCCUGUUUACCAAAAACAUCGCCUCUUGAAUAAUAUAAGAGGUCCAGCCUGCCCAGUGACUCUGUUCAACGGCCGCGGUAUCCUAACCGUGCGAAGGUAGCGUAAUCACUUGUUCUUUAAAUGAGGACUAGUAUGAACGGCACCACGAAGGUUAUGCUGUCUCCUCUUUCCAAUCAGUGAAACUAAUCUCCCCGUGAAGAAGCGGGGAUAUACAUAUAAGACGAGAAGACCCUAUGGAGCUUUAAACCACACAACACCUGCUCCAACUUAACUAACUUCCAGAAAACCCCCGUCUACCCAUGCAGGAUGAUUGUCAGUUUUAGGUUGGGGUGACCGCGGAGCAUAAAAUAACCUCCACAUUGAAAGGAGCCCACUCCUUAGCUAAGAGCCACACCUCCACGCAUCAACAAAAUGACAUUAAUUGACCCAAUAUAUUGACCAACGAACCAAGUUACCCUAGGGAUAACAGCGCAAUCCACUUUAAGAGCCCCUAUCGACAAGUGGGUUUACGACCUCGAUGUUGGAUCAGGGUAUCCCGGUGGUGCAGUCCGCUACCACAAGGUUGCGUUGUUC